This 375-nucleotide unclassified non-coding RNA is filed under the name Hevea brasiliensis (rubber tree). The record is from RNAcentral. Lineage: Eukaryota; Viridiplantae; Streptophyta; Magnoliopsida; Malpighiales; Euphorbiaceae.
GUUGUGAUGAGCACACUUUGGAGCAUUAGCAGGAAGUUGCAAAUAGUUUGGUCCAAGUCGAUACCUCUGGGUAUCAGAGUAGGAGAAAAUACGAGUUUGAAGCAUCUUAUCAUCUGAGUAAUAAACACCUGGAACCACAAUAGAAGGGCAGAAAGCUAGCUGCUCAUUCUCAUUAAAGAAGUUAUCAAUGUUCUUGUUCAGAACUAAUCUUCCCACCGGCUGCAAAGGCAAGAUGUCCUCUGGCCAAGUUUUUGUCACAUCAAGUGGAUCAAGUCAAAUUUGUCUUCAUGUUCUGGAUCCAUAAUCUGAAUGAAGAGCUUCCAUUCAGGAUAAUUUCCAGCUGCAAUAGAGUCAUAGAGGUCCUGAGUAGCAUGG